GUCUACAGCCAUAUCACCCUGAACACACCCGGUCUCAUCUGAUCUUGAAAGCUAAGCACUGUCGGAUCUGGUUAGUACUUGGAUGGGAGUCUGCCUGGGAAUACCGGGUGCUAUAGGCU
Molecule: ribosomal RNA, 119 nt
Filed under: Saimiri boliviensis boliviensis (Bolivian squirrel monkey)
Lineage: Eukaryota; Metazoa; Chordata; Mammalia; Primates; Cebidae
Source: RNAcentral